This 470-nucleotide ribosomal RNA is filed under the name uncultured bacterium. RNAcentral's name for it is "partial 16S ribosomal RNA". It matches the Rfam family "Bacterial small subunit ribosomal RNA", at positions 28 to 507 of the family's 1533-position model. The record is from RNAcentral.
GACGAACGCUGGCGGCGUGCUUAACACAUGCAAGUCGAACGGUGAACGAGGGAGCUUGCUCCCUCCGGAUCAGUGGCGAACGGGUGAGUAACACGUGAGCAAUCUGCCCCGAACUCUGGGAUAAGCGUUGGAAACGACGUCUAAUACCGGAUACGACGCGGGAGGGCAUCCUCUCCGCGUGGAAAGAACUUCGGUUCGGGAUGAGCUCGCGGCCUAUCAGCUUGUUGGUGAGGUAACGGCUCACCAAGGCGACGACGGGUAGCCGGCCUGAGAGGGUGACCGGCCACACUGGGACUGAGACACGGCCCAGACUCCUACGGGAGGCAGCAGUGGGGAAUAUUGCACAAUGGGCGCAAGCCUGAUGCAGCAACGCCGCGUGAGGGACGACGGCCUUCGGGUUGUAAACCUCUUUUAGCAGGGAACAAGCGAAAGUGACGGUACCUGCAGAAAAAGCACCGGCUAACUACGUG